Molecule: ribosomal RNA, 1314 nt
Filed under: Kribbella sp.
Lineage: Bacteria; Bacillati; Actinomycetota; Actinomycetes; Propionibacteriales; Kribbellaceae
Description: bacterial SSU rRNA
Rfam family: Bacterial small subunit ribosomal RNA
Source: RNAcentral
ACGAGCGGCGAACGGGUGAGUAACACGUGAGCAACCUACCCUCAACUUCGGGAUAAGCCUCGGAAACGGGGUCUAAUACCGGAUAUCACCAGCUUCCUCAUGGUUGUUGGUUGAAAGUUCUGGCGGUUGGGGAUGGGCUCGCGGCCUAUCAGCUUGUUGGUGGGGUAAUGGCCUACCAAGGCGUCGACGGGUAGCCGGCCUGAGAGGGCGACCGGCCACACUGGGACUGAGACACGGCCCAGACUCCUACGGGAGGCAGCAGUGGGGAAUAUUGCGCAAUGGACGAAAGUCUGACGCAGCAACGCCGCGUGAGGGAUGACGGCCUUCGGGUUGUAAACCUCUUUCAGCAGGGACGAAGCGAGAGUGACGGUACCUGCAGAAGAAGGACCGGCCAACUACGUGCCAGCAGCCGCGGUAAUACGUAGGGUCCGAGCGUUGUCCGGAAUUAUUGGGCGUAAAGGGCUCGUAGGCGGUUCGUCACGUCGGGAGUGAAAACUCGGAGCUCAACUCCGAGCCUGCUUCCGAUACGGGCAGACUAGAGGUAGGCAGGGGAGAGCGGAACUCCUGGUGUAGCGGUGGAAUGCGCAGAUAUCAGGAAGAACACCGGUGGCGAAGGCGGCUCUCUGGGCCUUACCUGACGCUGAGGAGCGAAAGCGUGGGUAGCGAACAGGAUUAGAUACCCUGGUAGUCCACGCCGUAAACGUUGGGCGCUAGGUGUGGGGGACAUUCCACGUCCUCCGUGCCGCAGCUAACGCAUUAAGCGCCCCGCCUGGGGAGUACGGCCGCAAGGCUAAAACUCAAAGGAAUUGACGGGGGCCCGCACAAGCGGCGGAGCAUGCGGAUUAAUUCGAUGCAACGCGAAGAACCUUACCUGGGUUUGACAUAUAGGGAAAUCCUCCAGAGAUGGGGGGUCCGUAAGGGUCCUAUACAGGUGGUGCAUGGCUGUCGUCAGCUCGUGUCGUGAGAUGUUGGGUUAAGUCCCGCAACGAGCGCAACCCUCGUCCUAUGUUGCCAGCACGUUAUGGUGGGGACUCAUAGGAGACUGCCGGGGUCAACUCGGAGGAAGGUGGGGAUGACGUCAAGUCAUCAUGCCCCUUAUGUCCAGGGCUUCACGCAUGCUACAAUGGCCGGUACAAAGGGCUGCGAAACCGCAAGGUGGAGCGAAUCCCAAAAAGCCGGUCUCAGUUCGGAUUGGGGUCUGCAACUCGACCCCAUGAAGUCGGAGUCGCUAGUAAUCGCAGAUCAGCAACGCUGCGGUGAAUACGUUCCCGGGCCUUGUACACACCGCCCGUCACGUCAUGAAAGUCGGCAACA